RNAcentral lists this non-coding RNA (29 nucleotides) under Homo sapiens (human). Lineage: Eukaryota; Metazoa; Chordata; Mammalia; Primates; Hominidae. The record is from RNAcentral.
UGUCCCUUUCCCAGAUGAUCCAGAAGAGU